This 1775-nucleotide ribosomal RNA is filed under the name Campylobacter jejuni. RNAcentral describes it as "partial 23S ribosomal RNA". It matches the Rfam family "Bacterial large subunit ribosomal RNA", at positions 1048 to 2925 of the family's 2925-position model. Lineage: Bacteria; Pseudomonadati; Campylobacterota; Epsilonproteobacteria; Campylobacterales; Campylobacteraceae. The record is from RNAcentral.
AUAAAACUUAGUAAAAUCAGUAAAAAUAUUCUUAGGCUAAAGUUAAGUAGUUUAAGUUGUGUGCAAGUGGUAGGAGAGCGUUCUAUUUGCGUCGAAGGUAUACCGGUAAGGAGUGCUGGAGCGAAUAGAAGUGAGCAUGCAGGCAUGAGUAGCGAUAAUUAAUGUGAGAAUCAUUAACGCCGUAAACCCAAGGUUUCCUACGCGAUGCUCGUCAUCGUAGGGUUAGUCGGGUCCUAAGUCGAGUCCGAAAGGGGUAGACGAUGGCAAAUUGGUUAAUAUUCCAAUACCAACAUUAGUGUGCGAUGGAAGGACGCUUAGGGCUAAGGGGGCUAGCGGAUGGAAGUGCUAGUCUAAGGUCGUAGGAGGUUAUACAGGCAAAUCCGUAUAACAAUACUCCGAGAACUGAAAGGCUUUUUGAAGUCUUCGGAUGGAUAGAAGAACCCCUGAUGCCGUCGAGCCAAGAAAAGUUUCUAAGUUUAGCUAAUGUUGCCCGUACCGUAAACCGACACAGGUGGGUGGGAUGAGUAUUCUAAGGCGCGUGGAAGAACUCUCUUUAAGGAACUCUGCAAAAUAGCACCGUAUCUUCGGUAUAAGGUGUGGUUAGCUUCGUACUAGGAUUUACUCCGAAAGCGAAGAAACUUACAACAAAGAGUCCCUCCCGACUGUUUACCAAAAACACAGCACUCUGCUAACUCGUAAGAGGAUGUAUAGGGUGUGACGCCUGCCCGGUGCUCGAAGGUUAAUUGAUGGGGUUAGCAUUAGCGAAGCUCUUGAUCGAAGCCCGAGUAAACGGCGGCCGUAACUAUAACGGUCCUAAGGUAGCGAAAUUCCUUGUCGGUUAAAUACCGACCUGCAUGAAUGGCGUAACGAGAUGGGAGCUGUCUCAAAGAGGGAUCCAGUGAAAUUGUAGUGGAGGUGAAAAUUCCUCCUACCCGCGGCAAGACGGAAAGACCCCGUGGACCUUUACUACAGCUUGACACUGCUAUUUGGAUAAGAAUGUGCAGGAUAGGUGGGAGGCUUUGAGUAUAUGACGCCAGUUGUAUAGGAGCCAUUGUUGAGAUACCACUCUUUCUUAUUUGGGUAGCUAACCAGCUUGAGUUAUCCUCAAGUGGGACAAUGUCUGGUGGGUAGUUUGACUGGGGCGGUCGCCUCCCAAAUAAUAACGGAGGCUUACAAAGGUUGGCUCAGAACGGUUGGAAAUCGUUCGUAGAGUAUAAAGGUAUAAGCCAGCUUAACUGCAAGACAUACAAGUCAAGCAGAGACGAAAGUCGGUCUUAGUGAUCCGGUGGUUCUGUGUGGAAGGGCCAUCGCUCAAAGGAUAAAAGGUACCCCGGGGAUAACAGGCUGAUCUCCCCCAAGAGCUCACAUCGACGGGGAGGUUUGGCACCUCGAUGUCGGCUCAUCGCAUCCUGGGGCUGGAGCAGGUCCCAAGGGUAUGGCUGUUCGCCAUUUAAAGCGGUACGCGAGCUGGGUUCAGAACGUCGUGAGACAGUUCGGUCCCUAUCUGCCGUGGGCGUAAGAAGAUUGAAGAGAUUUGACCCUAGUACGAGAGGACCGGGUUGAACAAACCACUGGUGUAGCUGUUGUUCUGCCAAGAGCAUCGCAGCGUAGCUAAGUUUGGAAAGGAUAAACGCUGAAAGCAUCUAAGCGUGAAGCCAACUCUAAGAUGAAUCUUCUCUAAGCUCUCUAGAAGACUACUAGUUUGAUAGGCUGGGUGUGUAAUGGAUGAAAGUCCUUUAGCUGACCAGUACUAAUAGAGCGUUUGGCUUAUCUUU